AUAUGCAGUAGAUGUGAUCGCG
RNAcentral lists this microRNA (22 nucleotides) under Drosophila virilis. RNAcentral's name for it is "dvi-miR-9708d-3p". Lineage: Eukaryota; Metazoa; Arthropoda; Insecta; Diptera; Drosophilidae. The record is from miRBase by way of RNAcentral.